Phyllopteryx taeniolatus (common seadragon) is the source of this 533-nucleotide long non-coding RNA. RefSeq lists it as uncharacterized. The transcript has 3 exons. The record is from RefSeq and is a predicted model, not a curated record. NCBI's taxonomy places the organism in Eukaryota, Metazoa, Chordata, Actinopteri, Syngnathiformes, Syngnathidae.
CAGACUCCUGUUUGGUGAGGUCAGUGCCUACAAAUUCUUGGAAUGAUGCCCCACCAAAGCAAAGCCAUGGACUGGUGCCAACCACAGAGCUCUUGGAAUUAAUACACAAUGCAGAGUCAGCUACUCUAGUUGAGAAUGGCUGAGACAGUGACACGAGUGCUAUCUCGCUGCUACUACAUCUGCUACCAUCUGCACAGGGACGAAAUCAGAAUCAGAAUCAUCUUUAUUUUGCCAAGGAUGUUUUGUCAACUGUGCAGAAUGCACAAGCCUACAGCUAAGAAAGGCCCAGGAAGGUGAGCUGUUGAGUUUGGAGCAAACAUUUUCGGAAAAGACUACUUGGAACCACCAGCAUAUCACCACAGAGCACCACAAGGACCAAGCAUCUCUCUCACUCGCUUUUCGACGAAUCAUUUAUUUAAGUUAGCCAUUAUAUUUUUAUGAAGAAGACAAAGCACGGCGGCAGCCGUGGCCCAAUGGUUAAGAUCAUCACUUGCCACCAUGGACGACCUAGGUUCAAGAUCCCAACCUGACCA